Cynara cardunculus var. scolymus (artichoke) is the source of this 999-nucleotide long non-coding RNA. RefSeq lists it as uncharacterized. The record is from RefSeq and is a predicted model, not a curated record. The transcript is spliced from 3 exons. NCBI's taxonomy places the organism in Eukaryota, Viridiplantae, Streptophyta, Magnoliopsida, Asterales, Asteraceae.
ACUUCCUUUCCAAACGACGCUCCACGCUCACUUCCCUUUCCAACGCAACUUUGCCCUCCAAAGAGACGAUUACAUAGAUGACAAUUCAGUCCCCAAGGCAAUGAUUCAGGCGAUUGAUAACCCUAGGGUUUAUAAAAAAUGGCUCCUGUCAGGCAACGAUUCAGGCGAUUGAGGGCACGAUUUCAAUUCAAUCCUGGAGGUUUUCAAUUCAAUCCUUGAGGGCACGAUUUGAUUCAUUGCGAGUGGAACCUGGAGGUUUUCAAGUAGUAUUUUAUUCAAAGGUGAGUUAAUUUAGGGUUUACUGAUUUGCGUCAUUGUUAGUGAGUUUGGUAACUGAUUUGCGUCAUUGUUAGUGAGUUUGGUUACUGAUUUGCGUCAUUGUUAGUGAGUUGGGUUUAGGGUUUAUUUCAUCAUCGUUAGUUGGCUGUCACUUUAUACUUUUUUCAUUGGCAAUGAGCUUAUCAGUAUAUGGCAUUCAACUUUUAGGUAAAAAGAAAUCAAAGUCUGAUGGAAGUGAUUCAGGUGAAGAGAACAUGUCUAAAAUAAGAUCUAGCCUUAAAGCAAGCAAUUGAUCAAAUCAAUACUUCUCAUGGAAAGGGAUCUAUCAUGUUUCUUUGUCAGUGUGCUUCUCCCAGACAAGUCCCAGUGGUGUCUACAGGACCUUUUGCAUUAGAUAUAGCAUUGGGAGUUGGUGGCUUUCCAAAGGCAUUUACACUGUGGACGCGUAGUUGAGAUAUACGGCCCAGAGGCCUCUGGAAAGACAACUCUUGCUCUGCAUGUAAUUGCUGAAGCGCAAAAGCAAGGAGAUUGUUGAGAUCUUGGAAGGAUUGGUCGAGGAAGGUUCUGACACCAUGAAUGCUUGUUGUACCUUACCUUCAAUGCUUUUAACUUAUUUUGGAUAUAUUGCCUUAGAAAGGAUUGUCGAUAAGAUUUACUUAGAAUCUUAUUCCUUGCAAAGAUGAUUGCAAAAGCUUCUAAUGGGUUGUUUGUUUACCUCUU